This 84-nucleotide transfer RNA is filed under the name Chloroflexota bacterium. RNAcentral describes it as "Chloroflexi bacterium tRNA-Leu". It matches the Rfam family "tRNA". Rfam says of the family: Transfer RNA (tRNA) molecules are approximately 80 nucleotides in length. Their secondary structure includes four short double-helical elements and three loops (D, anti-codon, and T loops). Further hydrogen bonds mediate the characteristic L-shaped molecular structure. tRNAs have two regions of fundamental functional importance: the anti-codon, which is responsible for specific mRNA codon recognition, and the 3' end, to which the tRNAs corresponding amino acid is attached (by aminoacyl-tRNA synthetases). tRNAs cope with the degeneracy of the genetic code in two manners: having more than one tRNA (with a specific anti-codon) for a particular amino acid; and 'wobble' base-pairing, i.e. permitting non-standard base-pairing at the 3rd anti-codon position. Lineage: Bacteria; Bacillati; Chloroflexota. The record is from RNAcentral.
GCCCCCGUGGCGGAAUUGGUAUACGCGGCAGGUUGAGGGCCUGUGCCCUUCGUGGGCGUGCUGGUUCGAGUCCAGCCGGGGGCA